RNAcentral lists this ribosomal RNA (467 nucleotides) under uncultured bacterium. RNAcentral's name for it is "partial 16S ribosomal RNA". It matches the Rfam family "Bacterial small subunit ribosomal RNA", at positions 28 to 507 of the family's 1533-position model. The record is from RNAcentral.
GAUGAACGCUGGCGGCGUGCUUAACACAUGCAAGUCGAACGGAAAGGCCCAAGCUUGCUUGGGUACUCGAGUGGCGAACGGGUGAGUAACACGUGGGUGAUCUGCCCUGCACUUCGGGAUAAGCCUGGGAAACUGGGUCUAAUACCGGAUAGGACCACAUUUUGGAUGGUGUGGUGGAAAGUUUUUCGGUGUGGGAUGAGCUCGCGGCCUAUCAGCUUGUUGGUGGGGUAAUGGCCUACCAAGGCGUCGACGGGUAGCCGGCCUGAGAGGGUGUACGGCCACAUUGGGACUGAGAUACGGCCCAGACUCCUACGGGGGGCAGCAGUGGGGAAUAUUGCACAAUGGGCGCAAGCCUGAGGCAGCGACGCCGCGUGGGGGAUGACGGCCUUCGGGUUGUAAACUCCUUUCGCUAGGGACGAAGCGUUUUUGUGACGGUACCUGGAGAAGAAGCACCGGCUAACUACGUG